GCCCCGGUAAACGGCGGCCGUAACUAUAACGGUCCUAAGGUAGCGAAAUUCCUUGUCGGGUAAGUUCCGACCUGCACGAAUGGCGUAAUGAUGGCCAGGCUGUCUCCACCCGAGACUCAGUGAAAUUGAACUCGCUGUGAAGAUGCAGUGUACCCGCGGCAAGACGGAAAGACCCCGUGAACCUUUACUAUAGCUUGACACUGAACAUUGAGCCUUGAUGUGUAGGAUAGGUGGGAGGCUUUGAAGUGUGGACGCCAGUCUGCAUGGAGCCGACCUUGAAAUACCACCCUUUAAUGUUUGAUGUUCUAACGUUGGCCCGUAAUCCGGGUUGCGGACAGUGUCUGGUGGGUAGUUUGACUGGGGCGGUCUCCUCCUAAAGAGUAACGGAGGAGCACGAAGGUUGGCUAAUCCUGGUCGGACAUCAGGAGGUUAGUGCAAUGGCAUAAGCCAGCUUGACUGCGAGCGUGACGGCGCGAGCAGGUGCGAAAGCAGGUCAUAGUGAUCCGGUGGUUCUGAAUGGAAGGGCCAUCGCUCAACGGAUAAAAGGUACUCCGGGGAUAACAGGCUGAUACCGCCCAAGAGUUCAUAUCGACGGCGGUGUUUGGCACCUCGAUGUCGGCUCAUCACAUCCUGGGGCUGAAGUAGGUCCCAAGGGUAUGGCUGUUCGCCAUUUAAAGUGGUACGCGAGCUGGGUUUAGAACGUCGUGAGACAGUUCGGUCCCUAUCUGCCGUGGGCGCUGGAGAACUGAGGGGGGCUGCUCCUAGUACGAGAGGACCGGAGUGGACGCAUCACUGGUGUUCGGGUUGUCAUGCCA
Molecule: ribosomal RNA, 815 nt
Filed under: Escherichia coli
Lineage: Bacteria; Pseudomonadati; Pseudomonadota; Gammaproteobacteria; Enterobacterales; Enterobacteriaceae
Description: partial 23S ribosomal RNA
Rfam family: Bacterial large subunit ribosomal RNA
Source: RNAcentral